RNAcentral lists this ribosomal RNA (955 nucleotides) under Escherichia coli O157:H7. Its description in RNAcentral is "partial 23S ribosomal RNA". The record is from RNAcentral. Lineage: Bacteria; Pseudomonadati; Pseudomonadota; Gammaproteobacteria; Enterobacterales; Enterobacteriaceae.
GGGUUGUGAGGUUAAGCGACUAAGCGUACACGGUGGAUGCCCUGGCAGUCAGAGGCGAUGAAGGACGUGCUAAUCUGCGAUAAGCGUCGGUAAGGUGAUAUGAACCGUUAUAACCGGCGAUUUCCGAAUGGGGAAACCCAGUGUGWUUCGWCACACUAUCAUUAACUGAAUCCAUAGGUUAAUGAGGCGAACCGGGGGAACUGAAACAUCUAAGUACCCCGAGGAAAAGAAAUCAACCGAGAUUCCCCCAGUAGCGGCGAGCGAACGGGGAGGAGCCCAGAGCCUGAAUCAGUGUGUGUGUUAGUGGAAGCGUCUGGAAAGGCGCGCGAUACAGGGUGACAGCCCCGUACACAAAAAUGCACAUGCUGUGAGCUCGAUGAGUAGGGCGGGACACGUGGUAUCCUGUCUGAAUAUGGGGGGACCAUCCUCCAAGGCUAAAUACUCCUGACUGACCGAUAGUGAACCAGUACCGUGAGGGAAAGGCGAAAAGAACCCCGGCGAGGGGAGUGAAAAAGAACCUGAAACCGUGUACGUACAAGCAGUGGGAGCACAGAGCAAUCUGUGUGACUGCGUACCUUUUGUAUAAUGGGUCAGCGACUUAUAUUCUGUAGCAAGGUUAACCGAAUAGGGGAGCCGAAGGGAAACCGAGUCUUAACUGGGCGUUAAGUUGCAGGGUAUAGACCCGAAACCCGGUGAUCUAGCCAUGGGCAGGUUGAAGGUUGGGUAACACUAACUGGAGGACCGAACCGACUAAUGUUGAAAAAUUAGCGGAUGACUUGUGGCUGGGGGUGAAAGGCCAAUCAAACCGGGAGAUAGCUGGUUCUCCCCGAAAGCUAUUUAGGUAGCGCCUCGUGAAUUCAUCUCCGGGGGUAGAGCACUGUUUCGGCAAGGGGGUCAUCCCGACUUACCAACCCGAUGCAAACUGCGAAUACCGGAGAAUGUUAUCACGGGAGAC